Molecule: ribosomal RNA, 251 nt
Filed under: uncultured bacterium
Lineage: Bacteria
Description: partial 16S ribosomal RNA
Rfam family: Bacterial small subunit ribosomal RNA
Source: RNAcentral
GACGGGGGGGGCAAGUGUUCUUCGGACUGACUGGGCGUAAAGGGCACGUAGGCGGUGAAUCGGGUUGAAAGUGAAAGUCGCCAAAAAGUGGCGGAAUGCUCUCGAAACCAAUUCACUUGAGUGAGACAGAGGAGAGUGGAAUUUCGUGUGUAGGGGUGAAAUCCGUAGAUCUACGAAGGAACGCCAAAAGCGAAGGCAGCUCGCUGGAACGUUACUGACGCUGAGAUGCGAAAGCGUGGGGAGCAAACAGG